Potamilus streckersoni is the source of this 73-nucleotide non-coding RNA. NCBI's taxonomy places the organism in Eukaryota, Metazoa, Mollusca, Bivalvia, Unionida, Unionidae. The record is from the annotation of a GenBank genome assembly.
GCUCCAGUGGCUUAGUGAUUAGAGCGUCCGCCUCGGAUGCGAGAGGUCGCGAUUUCGAACCCCGGCCGAGUCA